ACAGCAGUCGCCGCGGGAAUACGUAGGUGGCAAGCGUUGUCCGGAAUUAUUGGGCGUAAAGCGCGCGCAGGCGGAUAGGUCAGUCUGUCUUAAAAGUUCGGGGCUUAACCCCGUGAUGGGAUGGAAACUGCCAAUCUAGGGUAUCGGAGAGGAAAGUGGAAUUCCUAGUGUAGCGGUGAAAUGCGUAGAUAUUAGGAAGAACACCAGUGGCGAAGGCGGCUUUCUGGACUGUAACUGACGCUGAGGCUCGAAAGCCAGGGGAGCGAACGGGAUUAGAUACCCCCGUAGUCCCUGUCUCUUAUACA
This 305-nucleotide ribosomal RNA is filed under the name uncultured bacterium. RNAcentral describes it as "partial 16S ribosomal RNA". It matches the Rfam family "Bacterial small subunit ribosomal RNA", at positions 508 to 809 of the family's 1533-position model. The record is from RNAcentral.